AAGGUGGCUUUUGGGCUGUCGCAGAUGGAUGAGCCUGCGUUGGAUUAGCUAGUUGGAGGGGUAAGGGCCUACCAAGGCUACGAUCCAUAGCUGAUUUGAGAGGAUGAUCAGCCACAUUGGGACUGAGACACGGCCCAAACUCCUACGGGAGGCAGCAGUGAGGAAUAUUGGACAAUGGGGGCAACCCUGAUCCAGCAAUGCCAUGUGUGUGAAGAAGGCCUUAGGGUUGUAAAGCACUUUAGUUGGGGAAGAAAGCUUUGAGGUUAAUAGCCUUGAGGAAGGACGUUACCCAAAGAAUAAGCACCGGCUAACUCCGUGCCAGCAGCCGCGGUAAUACGGGGGGUGCAAGCGUUAAUCGGAAUUACUGGGCGUAAAGGGUCUGUAGGUGGUUUGUUAAGUCAGAUGUGAAAGCCCAGGGCUCAACCUUGGAACUGCAUUUGAUACUGGCAAACUAGAGUACGGUAGAGGAAUGGGGAAUUUCUGGUGUAGCGGUGAAAUGCGUAGAGAUCAGAAGGAACACCAAUGGCGAAGGCAACAUUCUGGACCGAUACUGACACUGAGGGACGAAAGCGUGGGGAUCAAACAGGAUUAGAUACCCUGGUAGUCCACGCUGUAAACGAUGAGUACUAGCUGUUGGAGUCGGUGUAAAGGCUCUAGUGGCGCAGCUAACGCGAUAAGUACUCCGCCUGGGGACUACGGCCGCAAGGCUAAAACUCAAAGGAAUUGACGGGGACCCGCACAAGCGGUGGAGCAUGUGGUUUAAUUCGAUGCAACGCGAAGAACCUUACCUGGUCUUGACAUCCUGCGAGCUUUCUAGAGAUAGAUUGGUGCCUUCGGGAACGCAGUGACAGGUGCUGCACGGCUGUCGUCAGCUCGUGUUGUGAAAUGUUGGGUUAAGUCCCGCAACGAGCGCAACCCCUAUUGAUAGUUACCAUCAUUAAGUUGGGUACUCUAUUGAGACUGCCGCUGACAAGGCGGAGGAAGGUGGGGACGACGUCAAGUCAUCAUGGCCCUUACGACCAGGGCUACACACGUGCUACAAUGGGUAUUACAGAGGGCUGCGA
This 1064-nucleotide ribosomal RNA is filed under the name uncultured Francisella sp. RNAcentral describes it as "bacterial SSU rRNA". It matches the Rfam family "Bacterial small subunit ribosomal RNA", at positions 202 to 1252 of the family's 1533-position model. The record is from RNAcentral. Lineage: Bacteria; Pseudomonadati; Pseudomonadota; Gammaproteobacteria; Thiotrichales; Francisellaceae.